This 156-nucleotide unclassified non-coding RNA is filed under the name uncultured Bartonella sp. Its description in RNAcentral is "partial 16S-23S ribosomal RNA intergenic spacer". Lineage: Bacteria; Pseudomonadati; Pseudomonadota; Alphaproteobacteria; Hyphomicrobiales; Bartonellaceae. The record is from RNAcentral.
GGUCUAUGCAAGUAAGCUCUCAUCAAAAGCUUUAAGGAAAGCUCUUUGUUUUUUGAAAGGGUGCUUUUAUGAGAUAGAGCUUUUUUAGAUAAUGCUGGGGAAGGUUUUCCGGUUUAUCUCGGAGGGCUUGUAGCUCAGUUGGUUAGAGCGCGCGCU